Molecule: ribosomal RNA, 519 nt
Filed under: uncultured eukaryote
Lineage: Eukaryota
Description: bacterial SSU rRNA
Rfam family: Eukaryotic small subunit ribosomal RNA
Source: RNAcentral
AGGGCACCACCAGGAGUGGAGCCUGCGGCUUAAUUUGACUCAACACGGGGAAACUCACCCGGCCCGGACACCGUAAGGAUUGACAGAUUGAUAGCUUUUUCAUGAAUCGGUGGAUGGUGUCGCAUGGCCGUUCUUAGUUCGUGGAGGGAUUUGUCUGGUUUAUUCCGAUAGGCCUGGAGACUCUAGCCUACUAAAUAGGUCGCACGUUGUCUCUGUGGGUGGGACUUCUUACAGGGAUUUUCGGAGUUCAGCCGCACGAAAUUGAGCAAUACCAGGUCUGUGAUGCCCUUAGAUGUCCGGGGCUGCACGCGCGCUACACUGGAUGAAUCUCCGUGCUUGCCCUUCCUCGAAAGGGGUUGGUUAACCCUUGACAAGUUGCAGUGCUUGGGAUUGGAAAUUGCAAUUAUUUUCCAUGAACGAAUACUUCCUAGUAAGUGCGAGUGAUCAGCUCGCGUUGAUUACCUCCCCGCCCUUUGCACACACCGCCCGUGGCUGCCCGGGACUGAGCCAUUUCAAGAA